This 751-nucleotide long non-coding RNA is filed under the name Homo sapiens (human). RNAcentral's name for it is "HSALNT0361830". The record is from RNAcentral. Lineage: Eukaryota; Metazoa; Chordata; Mammalia; Primates; Hominidae.
CUUUUUGUUACAAAAGUGGAGAUCUACACGGAGGCGACGGCCUAGGUCGCUCUGACAGGACCCAACGACCCUCCUGACGCGUCCACCCGUCCUCGCUAGCAGGGUCCCCCAGCGGGCUCUCGACCUGCGCCACCAGAGUUCCACUCUUUUUGUCGACAAUAAUAUGGCGCCCAAACACGUGGGGCCUCAGAGAAGACUCUGGAUCCGGAAGGAGUAUCCCAAAACCAGAGCUAAGGUACCAGCUGGAGCCCACUGAAGCCUCACCGAGUUUGGGCUUCUCCUCCUGUGGAACUGGAAACCAAAAUCAUGGUAUUUUGAAAACCAGAGGUAUGAAUCUCCCUCGUUUGGCAUCCCACUGGGCCUGGACCUGUUUCACUGCUAAUGUUCUGCUGCCAAAACUAUACAAGCUGCCUGGACUAUUGCAGAAGAGGGCCACUCAGGGAAGCACAGAGACAGAAUGGCAGACAGAAAGAGGACUGGAGGGUGACUAUUGUGGUUUUCCUGGGAAAAAAAUGGGAGAAGAAAAGUAAGCAAGUUAAACAAGUUGAAUAUUAAAUAGUUUGAAUAACUUGUAUAAUUCAGUGAGGUCUCAGCUAUAGGUUGGUCCCUAGUUGUUAGGCCCUGAUCCUGGGGUGACUAAACCGGAGGGACAGUGUCACAGAUUGCUCACAAGCAAAUUGUUUACUGUCUCUAAGAAGUAACCCUGUAAAAAGCAGUCCCUCCCUGGCUCUACAAAGUCCUAGGUGCCACA